GAAAGAGUAUGAUUGUUGUUUCUGAGUUCAUCGGCUGCUCGCCGUCUCUCAGCGGUGCCAUCAGGGUCAAUCCAUGGGACAUUGAGAGUGUAGCCACUGGUAUGACUUCAGGAGCCAUGAUGAAUGAUAGGGAGAAAGAAUUGCGUCAUGAGAAGCACUAUAGAUAUGUUUCUUCUCAUGACGUUGCAUAUUGGGCGAGGAGUUUCGAUCA
RNAcentral lists this unclassified non-coding RNA (211 nucleotides) under Hevea brasiliensis (rubber tree). The record is from RNAcentral. Lineage: Eukaryota; Viridiplantae; Streptophyta; Magnoliopsida; Malpighiales; Euphorbiaceae.